This 253-nucleotide ribosomal RNA is filed under the name uncultured bacterium. RNAcentral describes it as "partial 16S ribosomal RNA". It matches the Rfam family "Bacterial small subunit ribosomal RNA", at positions 524 to 776 of the family's 1533-position model. The record is from RNAcentral.
CACGUAGGGUGCGAGCGUUGUCCGGAAUUAUUGGGCGUAAGAGCUCGUAGGCGGUGUGUCGCGUCGGCCGUGAAAACCUGCAGCUUAACUGUGGGCGUGCGGUCGAUACGGGCAUCACUGGAGUUCGGCAGGGGAGACUGGAAUUCCUGGUGUAGCGGUGAAAUGCGCAGAUAUCAGGAGGAACACCGGUGGCGAAGGCGGGUCUCUGGGCCGAUACUGACGCUGAGGAGCGAAAGCGUGGGGAGCGAACAGG